UUUAUGGAGAGUUUGAUCCUGGCUCAGAGUGAACGCUGGCGGCGUGCCUAAUACAUGCAAGUCGAACGAUGAAGCUUCUAGCUUGCUAGAGUGCUGAUUAGUGGCGCACGGGUGAGUAACGCAUAGGUCAUGUGCCUCUUAGUUUGGGAUAGCCAUUGGAAACGAUGAUUAAUACCAGAUACUCCCUACGGGGGAAAGAUUUAUCGCUAAGAGAUCAGCCUAUGUCCUAUCAGCUUGUUGGUAAGGUAAUGGCUUACCAAGGCUAUGACGGGUAUCCGGCCUGAGAGGGUGAACGGACACACUGGAACUGAGACACGGUCCAGACUCCUACGGGAGGCAGCAGUAGGGAAUAUUGCUCAAUGGGGGAAACCCUGAAGCAGCAACGCCGCGUGGAGGAUGAAGGUUUUAGGAUUGUAAACUCCUUUUGUUAGAGAAGAUAAUGACGGUAUCUAACGAAUAAGCACCGGCUAACUCCGUGCCAGCAGCCGCGGUAAUACGGAGGGUGCAAGCGUUACUCGGAAUCACUGGGCGUAAAGAGCGCGUAGGCGGGAUAGUCAGUCAGGUGUGAAAUCCUAUGGCUUAACCAUAGAACUGCAUUUGAAACUACUAUUCUAGAGUGUGGGAGAGGUAGGUGGAAUUCUUGGUGUAGGGGUAAAAUCCGUAGAGAUCAAGAGGAAUACUCAUUGCGAAGGCGACCUGCUGGAACAUUACUGACGCUGAUUGCGCGAAAGCGUGGGGAGCAAACAGGAUUAGAUACCCUGGUAGUCCACGCCCUAAACGAUGGAUGCUAGUUGUUGGAGGGCUUAGUCUCUCCAGUAAUGCAGCUAACGCAUUAAGCAUCCCGCCUGGGGAGUACGGUCGCAAGAUUAAAACUCAAAGGAAUAGACGGGGACCCGCACAAGCGGUGGAGCAUGUGGUUUAAUUCGAAGAUACACGAAGAACCUUACCUAGGCUUGACAUUGAGAGAAUCCGCUAGAAAUAGUGGAGUGUCUAGCUUGCUAGACCUUGAAAACAGGUGCUGCACGGCUGUCGUCAGCUCGUGUCGUGAGAUGUUGGGUUAAGUCCCGCAACGAGCGCAACCCCCUUUCUUAGUUGCUAACAGGUCAUGCUGAGAACUCUAAGGAUACUGCCUCCGUAAGGAGGAGGAAGGUGGGGACGACGUCAAGUCAUCAUGGCCCUUACGCCUAGGGCUACACACGUGCUACAAUGGGGUGCACAAAGAGAAGCAAUACUGCGAAGUGGAGCCAAUCUUCAAAACACCUCUCAGUUCGGAUUGUAGGCUGCAACUCGCCUGCAUGAAGCUGGAAUCGCUAGUAAUCGCAAAUCAGCCAUGUUGCGGUGAAUACGUUCCCGGGUCUUGUACUCACCGCCCGUCACACCAUGGGAGUUGUGUUUGCCUUAAGUCAGGAUGCUAAAUUGGCUACUGCCCACGGCACACACAGCGACUGGGGUGAAGUCGUAACAAGGUAACCGUAGGUGAACCUGCGGUUGGAUCACCUCCUUUCUAGA
This 1509-nucleotide ribosomal RNA is filed under the name Helicobacter pylori. Its description in RNAcentral is "bacterial SSU rRNA". It matches the Rfam family "Bacterial small subunit ribosomal RNA". Lineage: Bacteria; Pseudomonadati; Campylobacterota; Epsilonproteobacteria; Campylobacterales; Helicobacteraceae. The record is from RNAcentral.